AGUUCAACAAUCCAGGGCGCUGUUAGCAACAUUUCACUGCUGAUUCACAGCAACAUUCAAGACACAGAAGAAAUCUCCCCUCAAAAAAUUACCUGUGGACAUGGAGCACUUGACAGUUACGGCUGAAUUAACCCAUGUGCAACACAGGCAGUUACAUUCUCAUCCAGGG
Hemiscyllium ocellatum (epaulette shark) is the source of this 169-nucleotide long non-coding RNA. RefSeq lists it as uncharacterized. Lineage: Eukaryota; Metazoa; Chordata; Chondrichthyes; Orectolobiformes; Hemiscylliidae. The transcript is spliced from 3 exons. The record is from RefSeq and is a predicted model, not a curated record.